Non-coding RNA from Schistosoma mattheei, 45 nucleotides. NCBI's taxonomy places the organism in Eukaryota, Metazoa, Platyhelminthes, Trematoda, Strigeidida, Schistosomatidae. The record is from Rfam.
AUCCGACUAACGAGUUUCAAAUAGGACGAAACCCGGGUUCUGUAU